GCAAAAUGGACAGCUGGAAAAAUCCUGAACAUGCUACGGGUCCCUCAAAUCUAAUUGUUAAUUGAAAAAAAAAAUCAGCAAAAAAAAGUAUAACAGUCACACAAUCACAAAUAUGGGCACAUAUGGAAACACACAUGCACAGAGAGACACACACAGGACCAAAUUCAGUCAACCAGUCUAAAUAUAUUGAAUUUAAGUGAUAUAAUAAGAUGCUCCCAUCAAAGGGCUCUCUCGCUCUCUCUCUCUCUCACACACACACACACACACACACACACACACACACAGCCUAAAGGGAAUAGUAUUUGUGCCAUGGAGUGUUAACAAGAAUCUGAGGUCCAUAUUACAAAAGCUGCUAAAAUCAUAAAAGGUUGCAGAAUUGUAAUAAAUGAUGAAUAUGAAUUAGUGGUCUGUGAUAGUGUAUUAAUUUGUAGGGAAAAAACACAUGUUGCCCAAGGUGUAAUUGAACCCACGACCUUUGGGUUGCAGACCUGUGUCAUUACCAACUGCGCCACUGGGAAAGAGAGC
Oreochromis aureus is the source of this 525-nucleotide long non-coding RNA. The record is from Ensembl. Lineage: Eukaryota; Metazoa; Chordata; Actinopteri; Cichliformes; Cichlidae.